UACGGAGGGUGCAAACGUUGCUCGGAAUUAUUGGGCGUAAAGCGCACGUAGGCGGUCCGCUAAGUCGGAUGUGAAAGCCCUCGGCUUAACCGAGGAAGUGCAUCCGAAACUGACGGGCUAGAGUACGGAAGAGGGUUUCGGAAUUCCCGGUGUAGAGGUGAAAUUCGUAGAUAUCGGGAGGAACACCAGUGGCGAAGGCGGAAACCUGGGCCGAUACUGACGCUGAGGUGCGAAAAGCGUGGGGAGCAAA
Molecule: ribosomal RNA, 250 nt
Filed under: uncultured archaeon
Lineage: Archaea
Description: partial 16S ribosomal RNA
Rfam family: Bacterial small subunit ribosomal RNA
Source: RNAcentral